RNAcentral lists this unclassified non-coding RNA (5067 nucleotides) under Leishmania donovani. Its description in RNAcentral is "gene:LdHU3.03.0550(CDS-product:hypothetical_prote in_conserved)". The record is from RNAcentral. Lineage: Eukaryota; Euglenozoa; Kinetoplastea; Trypanosomatida; Trypanosomatidae.
GAAGGAACGAUGGCGACCGCGGCUGCCGAGGCGGCGUGCGUCACGUGCAGCACGGCGCUGUGCUCCUCGUCCACACUGUCCGUCGAUCCUAUGAAGCGACGCUCGGGCAGCCAUCGUAUGGACAAGACGACACCCGCGUCGAGGUCCGAAGGGUCAGCGUGCACCGCCUCAUAUUCCGGCAGUGCUGUUCUCGCUGAGCACCACCGCACGCGCCCAAGUGUCCAUGGCUUCGGUCGUGGUGACUCUCGCGAAGCGAGAUGGACGCAUCGCCCCCGGCGCGCACUGCGGCUCACGAAGCGCGCAGCAGUGUGUGUGCUGUAUCUCCUGCUGCCGUUCCUGCUGUACCACUCAACGCCACCAUCAGCAUCGCAACGGCUGCCGCCAGCACGUGCUUCCAUCACCGCCGCCACCGCCUCCAUCUGUGCUCCGUUUCUCUUUGUGCGUGCGGUGGAGUACGACCUCACGUUGGCCUUCCAGACGAACGACUACGUCGAUAACGUGUGCGUGCCGAGCGCGACGGCCCCCGCGGCGGCCAUCGACCUGUCUGCCUGUCCGUACUACCCGCUGUGGUCGCUCCUGGCUGGGGUGAGCAGCUUCGGGGAAACAGCAAGAGUGGAUGGGGGUAACGUGGAUGCCGCGGCGGCGAGUCGUGCUGGUGCUCGGGGCGGUGUGGACAGCUCCACGAGACCCGUCGAGCGGCACGGCAGAGCGGCAGCGGCGGAGGCGGAGGCGGAGGCGCGCCGGCGUAUCCCAACGGCUACCUCAGCGGCGGCGCCGUCCGCUGCGAGUACCGCGUACGUAGUUCCAGGCGACCUCACCAGCACGCUUUCGGGCUCGCGCAACGCGCUCACCUAUUACUAUCAAGUGCUGAACACAGACGACUUCUUCUUCAUGUUGCAGGGGUGCACCAUCCAAAUCACCAUCGACGGAGACGUGCCGCCGUCCUACGCCUACAACUCCUUCCAACGAUACGCCGAUGCCUAUGCGUUGAACGUCUCUGCGACGGGCAAGGAUGGCAGCAUCAGUGGCGGCUCUGGGGGACGAGGCAGCCUUGCCUUCCCAGCUGGCACGAGAGCCAGCGACACUGAGGGUGACGGCGAUGAAGCGUACCCCAACAUCACGCUGCGGACGGCAUUUUUUUUUUGGAAUCAACCGCGGCUGCACUGCGCGUACAAUGCUCCGGCGCUGAUGUCGAUGAUGGUUGAUCUUGCUAACCAGCACCACCACCACCACCAGCAGCAGCAGCAGCAGCAGCAGCAGCGCCGUGCGUUCUUGAAGGACGACGCAGUCUUGGCAGAAGCCAGCGCACAGCCGGCAGACGGCGAGGUAGCUGCUGGCCGACCCGUGGCCUCCUCGGCUGGGCCCCUUUAUCCGUCCUGCGCCGCAAGCAUGCCCCCGCCGAAGAACAUCCUACCCGCUGGCGGCCGGAACACAACGCUCACGGUGAACUACAUGCAACUCGGCAGCUCCGUCGUCGUGAAGAUCUUCAGCUUCGAUGUGUGGUAUCAGCUCACGGGCACACCGGCUCCAGCGACUCUCUCGAAGGCGCGUACCACGACCACCGCAGCGCCCGCGUCGGCCGCGUACUCGGCAGUCUUCUCCAGCGGCCCGAUCACGAGAGGCCGCGGUUGCAGCACUGGUGUGUCCACCAAGAACCUGGCCGCUGGGCAGUCGUUAAAGUUACCGGCGGAUCCCGAGAAGGUGUGCACGGCGCCGGCGCUCUACACCAUCUCCCUGAACCCGCUGCUUGCGCGGGCCUCUUCCUGGAGCCUCGGCAGUUCCACGGACUGGCUACAGCCCUCCGUGAUGGUCACCCACGACUACCCGGCCGCCCGCGUCAUCGCGGUCGUCGCGCAGUGCUCUGGUGUGCCGCUUUCCUUCUCGGUGAAGGCGAACUUCCUGAACCCUGGCAACUACCCUGGCAGCGGUCAGCAUUACGCCACCUCCAUCAUACACUUGUUCUUCUUGGUGUGCUAUGCCCUCCUGCUCAUCGUGUUCCUGGUAAUGAUUGUACCCUGCAGCAAGCGGCGGCGGCGGCGGCGGCGGGGGCAGGGGCGGCAACGUCGUGGUGGCGGCGCUGAGGGGGGCGAAAGCAGCAGCAGCCCAGGUCAGGCAAGAUCAUCAGAUAAGAAGAAGCGGGCGAGCGCGGGAUCUGACGAGAGCAGGGGCGGCAGCAUGCGCGGGCGGCGGAGCGGCAGUGCCGCGGCGGGCGGGGACGGUGGCGAAGAAAUGCACGGGACGAGCGCCCCAAGCAGUACGACGACGAAAUAUGCAGCCGUGGCGGCAUCAUCGGGGCCCGAGAGUACGUCUGCGGCGGUGAAGAACACGACCACAGCGCAGCGAAGCCCAUCCUCGUCGUCGCCGACGUCCGCAGCAGCGGUGGCGGCCCGAACACGCGCGUCGACGCAGCGCGGCGCAACUGAAAGUGGCCAGGACAACGCCGAAGACGAGCCUCUUCACAGGGAGGAGGGCAAAAGCGGCAGACGGCAACACCGCGGCGGUGCCGGGUCGCGGCCGCAGCAGCAGCAGCAGGGCCAGCGGGUUGCGGAGAGACGCAAUGGCGGCAGCGAGGGCGACGACUCCCAGCCAGAGACCUCGUCCUUAUACACAGCGCACUCCAACGCGCACCUCACAUCGUCUUCGGGCAUCUACGACGAUAAUGACAUCAACUGCGGCAGCAGCGAUGCCGCAAGCGAGGUGCAGGCGAGGCGAGGCUCGAGCGGGCGUCGCCGUGCGCAGAGCCGUCGACGCGGCGGCCCCUCCACGCUCUCCCUCUCCACCAGCGGCGACGACUCGGAUUGCAGCAGCAGCAGCAGCACCACCACGACUGACAGCACAAGCGACGACGACGGCAGCCGCGCCGCCCGCCGACGGCGACGUCAGAAGGAGCAGCGACGCGCGAAGAGGGAGAGGCAGGAGCAGAAGAAGCAACGAUCCCGUCCACGCCAUCAUGUCUCGGCCACCUCGACCUCUCGCCGCUACGCCGCCAACGACCUAGACGACGACCGGAGAGGCUCGAGCACGGGCGUCGUCAGCGCCUUCGCUUCGCCGCUUCGGUGGCGUUUCAGGGCGGUGGGAAUGACCGAUGUCGUUGGCCACCAGGUCCUUGACCCGGUGCGACUUUGGUGGGCUGAGAGUCACAUCCUCGUUAUGUAUGCACCGAUCCAGUGGCUUGUCCUCGUCCUUCUCGUGCUCAGGUGCCUGUUGAGCGUCCUCUUAGCAGCGAAGUUCUUUCUGCUCUCUAGGGCGGUGCACCGCGACUCCUUGAUGGGCAACAGCCUGUCACUCGUCUGCAUUAUUUUCGAAGUCGCCACGGACACGCUGCUGAUCCCGAUAGAGAUGCUGGUGGCGAUGGGGUGGGGCCUGGCUUUCACGGCGCCACUGCCCACGAACCAAAUUGUUACUGUCGGCCUUGCCACGCUCACGAUGUUCAUCGUCUUUGUUUUCAGCGCCGCGUGUGCGAAGGAUGGUCUGAGCAUGGCGCUGACCGCGAAUCGGUAUGCGAGGCUCAUCAACGGCAACCUAUGCAACACGGUCGCAUACACCCGCGCCGCUUUCGAGAUGGUCUGCCGCGUCCACAACGUGCUUCGCAUGUUCCUCCUGUCGCUGUGGCUAUCGAAGACGGUGGUGCCGGCCGAUGCAGCGGCUGUGCAGCGGCAGCGCAGACUGAGUCACAGGCAGCUGCAAGGCGCACAAAAUGAGUGUCGUGAAGGACAAGGAAUGGCCGGGCCCGGCGAUAGCAGCAGUGAUGGGGUGUCGUGUAGGUCAGAUCUUCACCGCCGCACCUCGUCUGCGACCUCGUCCUCGUCAUCUGGUCAGUGCGAUGGUUCGUCUCUUGUGACCACCUUCACCACCACCGACACCACAACGCCGUCGUCGGCCCCGUUCGCCCUCCGGCCGCCGCCGCGCCUCGGCUACCCUGGCGUGUCCCUGUCGGCGAUGGAGGUGUAUCUUCGCUACCGUGGCAUGUGGGUGCCCUUCGCGAUGCUGCUGGUAUGGGCGGUUCUGCUGCUGGUCUUCGCCUUCACCUUCUACGAGCCGGAGGACUACUACAUGGUGGUAGCCUUUCGGGAGCUGCAGAGUGUGUAUCUCCUCGGCUUCAUCAUUCUCUUUUUGCGGACGUCAUCCCCUCUCUACUGCUGAAAAGAAGGAUGCCGACUCGCACCGGUGCCACGCACCGCACACCACAAAUCUAAGAGAGAGGGAUAGGGGGCAUCCGCUCGUCGUGGUGGUGCAUCAUCCCUGCUGCUGCAUAGCCGCCCGCCUCGCCCGCUCUUUGGAUUACGCCGCUCACUGUGUGAUAGUUUGUGAAGUUCUAAGCGAGUGAGCGAGUGUGUGUUGCGUGUGUGUGUGUGUGUGUGUGUUCGUGUGUGUGUGUGUUGGUCACGAAAGGCAAGGCCUAUUCGAGUGGGGGGAAACGCGCAGGCACACGCGUGCCGGCAUAGCAUACACGCUGUACCCCGCCGAGGCGUGUGCCAUCCCACCCCUCUCCCUUUCCGCGACGUCCGCGUGCGUUCGGCCCAGAAGAGAAUGGAAUCCGAUGAGGUGUUGGAGAGCAUACAGGCAGAACAACAACGAAAAGGACGAAGUGCAGUGAUGGGGCCGUGCGUUGCUGCAGCAGCACGAAGGGGGAGCUGCCUUGAGGCGAUGGCCUCCGCGAGCAAGCCGCCCCCUCUCUGUCUGCGUCUCUCUCGAAUCGAAAACGCACCCCGUCUUCACUUGGACGCAGCGCCGGUGAAUGUGGUCGAUGCGCGUGCGUGUGUCCGUCUCUCUGUGUGGUGCCGCUCGCACCCAUCAUGCGAAUGCAGCGAGAAGAGCUCUCACUCUUGCUCGCACCGAAGCGCGUCACCGGAACGCCCUCACACCUUCCUUCUCUGCCCUCUUCUUCGCCUCUGAUUGGUGUCGCGUGGAACCUGCGCUCGCUCCUCGCGUGCCUGGACUUUUCCUCGUCGUCACCAUACGACGCACACGCACACUCACACGCACACGCGCGCGUGUACAUGUAUAUAUAUAUAUAUAUACAUCUGUACGUCUCUCUACUGUACGGCAUCCGUGUGUGCCCUGCAG